Molecule: ribosomal RNA, 498 nt
Filed under: uncultured bacterium
Lineage: Bacteria
Description: bacterial SSU rRNA
Rfam family: Bacterial small subunit ribosomal RNA
Source: RNAcentral
GAGUUUGAUCGUGGCUCAGGAUUAACGCUGGCGGCGUGCCUGACACAUGCAAGUCGAACGAGCGAAGCCCUUCGGGGCCCAGCGAGUGGCGGACGGGUGAGUAACACGUGAGGAACCUACCUUCAAGUGGGGAAUAACUCGCAGAAAUGCGAGCUAAUACCGCAUGUGGUUGCGAAGUGGCAUCACUUUGCACCUAAAGAUUUAUCGCUUGGAGACGGCCUCGCGGCCUAUUAGCUAGUUGGUGGGGUAACGGCCUACCAAGGCGAUGAUGGGUAGCUGGUCUGAGAGGACGAUCAGCCACACUGGGACUGAGACACGGCCCAGACUCCUACGGGAGGCAGCAGUGAGGAAUUUUCCGCAAUGGGCGCAAGCCUGACGGAGCAACGCCGCGUGUGUGAUGAAGUCCCUCGGGAUGUAAAGCACUGUCGGAGGGGAUGAAUAAAUGACAGUACCCUCCAAGAAAGCCCCGGCUAACUACGUGCCAGCCGCCGCCGUAAC